GCGCUUCGGCAGCACAUAUACUAAAUUGGUCCGACACAGAGAAGAUUAGCUUGGCUCCUGCCCAAGGAUGACAAGCAAAUUCGUGAAGCAUUUCAUAAAAAA
Molecule: small nuclear RNA, 102 nt
Filed under: Propithecus coquereli (Coquerel's sifaka)
Lineage: Eukaryota; Metazoa; Chordata; Mammalia; Primates; Indriidae
Source: RNAcentral